Long non-coding RNA from Brassica napus (rape), 2374 nucleotides. RefSeq lists it as uncharacterized. NCBI's taxonomy places the organism in Eukaryota, Viridiplantae, Streptophyta, Magnoliopsida, Brassicales, Brassicaceae. The record is from RefSeq and is a predicted model, not a curated record. The transcript has 2 exons.
UUCAUUUGUAUAUAAAUGAAUUUGUUAUUGGUUAAUUGGUUUAGAGGCAGUUUACCCCUUAUAUAUAGUGGAUAUGGUACUAAAAGACCGCUGAAAAUUGCAAGUGGUUCGUACAUGCAAAUGGCAAUUAGUACUUUAUGAAAGUUAUAAGUCAUGUUGGUCCACUCCAAUUAUAUAUGUUCUUGAACGAGUGUUUGUCUACUCAUCCUCCACUCCAAAAUCUUAGUUAUUUCCUGUCUGAAACCAACCUUGCCAAUUUGGUCGUUUUUAAUUAUAUCGUAAAUAAGUACAGUGAAACCUCUAUAAAUUAAUAAUGUUGGGACUACACCAAAACUAUAAUUUUUAUUAAUUUAUAAAGAUAUUAAUUUAUCGAUAUACUAAUUAAACCAAAAACUCCAUUUGAGACUAUAAAAUUAUAUUAUUUUAUAGAGAUUUUUAGUGUAUAUUAAUUUAUAGAGUAUUAAUUUAAAGAGGUUAUACUGUAUAUACUUUUUCAUAUGUUCUUCGUGUGGAAGUGGAAGUGGUUAUCCACAACUACAAUCUUGACAUAAUAUGAUUAGAAGAGAUUAUAGACCAAUUAAUCAAAUCUCCUUUGACGACCAAAGACUGGUGAGGGACUCUCUUGAUGUCAACAAAAGUAGAGUAGUCUUUGUUCAUUGCAUGUUUCCAAGGUUCCCCAUCUUUUUGCAUAAACGCAUCUCUCCAUUCUACUCCUCUUAUCUCUAGCCGUGUCGCCGCUGGCCUGUCAGUUAUAAACACGUUCUUGUGCUUUUUUUUUAUGUAGCAACUGAAAUAAAAAAAAUGGUGACACGAAGACUUCCUAAAAAAUCACAUAUCUUAAUGCUACUCUCGUUCAAGCACGCUUAACUACGGAGGAGUUCUGAUGGGAUCCAUGCAUUAGCACUAGUAAAAAUCUUCCGCAUAGCCACGGUAGUGCCAGUGUAAAAUCGUGGCUUAUUUGAAAAAGUCACUGUUUAGCUACGGUUAGCCACAAUUUUUUAAAAAGCCACGAUUAUUCUUUUAUAGCCACGAUUCAGUCACUAAAUAAUCAUGGUUAUUUUAGUAGCCACGAUUUAGCUACGAAAUAACAGUGGCGAAUCGUUAGCCACGACUCAUCCACUUUAUUUUUGUGGCUAUUUAGUUUUUCUAUACCCUAAACCUUAAACUUCAAAAUUAAAUUAUAUAUCCUAGAUACUAAAACCAAAAUACAAAUAUAACAUCUUUUCAAACUUUAAAUAUAAAUGUUAAAUUUAAAUUCUAAAUAUAAAUUUCUUUAAAAUCCAUUAUAAAUCUUAAACCUAAACCCUUAACUUAAACUUUACAUACAAAAACCAUAAAUCUAAUGUUUUCAAACCACAAACCUUAUAUCAUACAUUAAAUCACAAAUAUUUAAAUCUAAUUAAACCCAAAAUUUAUAUAUUUCAAACUCUAAAAACAUUUAUACUUUCAAUUAUUUAAUCUUAACAUUUACAUUUAAUCCUUAACAAGUAUACUCAAAUCCUAUUUCUCAAACUAUAAACUCUAUAUUGUAAACAUAUAUCAUUAAACCAUGAAGCAUUAUAUCUUAAAUUCAAAAUAUUGAAAUUUAAAUUGAAAAUCUUAUCAAUUUUCUUUAGGUUAUGCACUAUAAUCAUAAGCUAACAACUAAAUAAUAAAAAGAAAAGAAAUACUGAAAUCUAAUGCUAAUUCCUAAACUAACUUCUCAUUGGUCAAAAGAAGAAAGGAACGGAUUACCCCCUGUUAGAUCACAACCAUUCAUAAAGAUCCAUCGAACGGCCACAACUACACACGCUUUUUAUGUUUAUUUUUAAUUUAUUUUCUUCUUCCUUCUCUUCUCUCGUCUCUGAUUUUUUUCUAGAUCUAAGUUUCGUUUUCACACAGAUCUCUCUACCGCUCACACAUCUCUCCAUCUCUGCUCACAGAAGAAACAUCAAUGCCUCUACUCACAUAUCUAUGUUUGUUUCUUAUCAGUUGUGUAUGUAUUUGAUUUUGUUUUGAUAGAUGACAGAGACGGAGGUGGACUGCGACGGUAACGAAGAUGGAGAGACAUAGAUGGCUGAGGAAGAAGACGCGACGGCAGGAAGAAGCGGAGAUUUUUAAACUAGGAAGAAGAAGAAGAAGGAGAAAAGACAAAGGAAGAAGAAGAAAAGCCAAGAUGAAGCUUCGCUGGCUCCUUCCAGAGCCAAUAUUGAAGAAGAUGAAGGUGGUGCGGUGGUGCGUGUAUCACCGGCGACACGGGGGUGGGCUAUCACCGGAGGAAUGUUGCGCGUGGUUCAUGGCCUGGUGCGCGUGGUGCUGUGCGAGGAUAUACAUAUAUAAUAAACAUGUAAUUUAUAAGAUUUUAUAUUUUAUUAAUAAAUUAUUUUAUUUUUUA